AUAGCACCAAAGCCCACUUGCUGUUUCCUCAAAGACAUUAUCAAGGACACAGAAACCUGUAAUAAUAGCUACAGGAAACCUGUCUUAACAUAUCACUUCAUGGAUGCCAAGGAAGAAGGAGAAGCCACUACUCCUCCUCCUUCUUCUGCUGCUGCUUCUCAGUCUUCUCCUCUCUCUAGGCAAAUCACCAUUUAUUCCUAUCCCAAGGUCUUUUUCUCUCUGUUUCUUUAUCUUCGUGCAUGUCUGAUUGUGCUUGUUGAUCUCUGCGAAUCUGUGUUAUUCAUUGGCAGGCUAGGAAAAGGAAGUCACGAGGGUCCAAGACAAACCUGACCCAGAUCCAUAAGGAGUCUCCAGAACCUAACAGCGGCACUGAACUUGUGAGAACUAAAUCUUUUCUUCCCUUUUCUUCCACUUGCUGUUUUGCUUCUUUUAUUGUAAAAAAUUUUCAAUCUCUUCAUGAAUUGGAGAAUACUUUUUGCUUCAAUCCCUGUUUUCCUGUUUUUUAUUAGCUCAACUGUUAUCAUUUUCAGAUGGGCGAAACAUUUCUGUAGAGCUUUCUCUUUCUCUCUCUCUCUCUAUUAAUUUGUGUGCUCGCUUAUCUCAGCUGCUUGCUAUUGUUUUGUUAUUUUUAGGGUUCUCUUUUUUCCUUCUUCUUAACUUUGUCUUCUAAUCAAAUUUUAUGUUCAAAGCUGGAGUUAGGAGAAACCCUUUAGUAAAGUUUUUGGGAAAUUCCAAAAGCUCAGGCAGCAAUAAAUUUUCAUUUCCACAGAAAUUAUACAUCAGGAAAGAAAACACUGUGAAUCUAACUUUGAAAACUGAAAUCCAUCCUAAUCCUGUUCCAGACUCAUUCGAAGAGAAGAAUCUGCAUUAGCUUUAACUCUAGCAGCAAGCAGGUGUUCCCUAUUUGGGACAGCACUUGCAAUUUCUCUGGGUUUUAGUAGCCCUUUUUUAGGUGGUUCUUUCCUUUCAAUUUCAAUUCUUACUCUAGGUACUUUCAUUUUUGCAAUUUUUGUUUUGGAUACCUGAACUCUUCUUUAGGUGUCAUUUUCUAAUCCAUCCCCAAUAAAAUGAACCUAUCUGUGAAAUGAGAGAUUUUAAAUUUGGGAUAGGCUUUGCUCAGCUUUGACAGCACAAUCCUUCAGUGCAAAACACAGGUGACUACGAAGUAGAGACCCAUGGAGUUCCAGCUGUACUUAGCAGCCUAACUGAAUGUUUUAGAAGUGGCUUUAAAUUUGUUUCUUUCAUGUAUAUUAAUAUUUUUAUGCUUUGUUUUUAUUUCAAGGCUGUGAAGAAAAACCAAAAUUUAAUUUUCUUCUAAUAUAAGCCAUUGAUGUGGGUGUUCAACAACUACUGGAAUGGUCCCUCAGUUUGCUGAAAUUUAUGUAUCAUUUUUGUGUUGUUUUUACUCAUAACAAGCCUGUUGGGUUCAAAUACAAACUUAAUUGAUUGCUUUGCAGUUUAUCCUUUUAGAUACUUGACUGCUAUUGCUGCAAUUCAUUUAGUGAUAUUAGAUAUAUAUUGAGUGAUGAAUUUAAUUGGAAAAAGAAAAUCUCUAUGAUUUCUUGAGCAGGGCUUAUGUGAUAAAUUCAGCAAGCCUACAAGGUCAGGGAUUUUGUUCAAGUGUUCUGUACUUACAAUCAGGUGAUAAGAAUUGAGUCAGAUUAGCUUCAUGUAUUGAUUCUUUUUCCUUGUUUGUUUUUAAAGCUGCAAACAAAAGAGAGGCGUGGUCAAUGAUUUCUAUGAUAGCUCUGAAUCUAAGUCUUCUGCUAUGGAGCGGGCAGAGGAGAUUCAAGAAAGUUUAGAAGCUUCAUUCCCUAGCUUUGCAAAGGCUUUGGUUCGGUCAAAUGUUACUGUUGGAUUUUGGAUGCAUCUUCCUAUGCGAUUCUGCAAACUGCAUUUGCCAAAGCAUGACACAACAGUUUUCUUGGAAACUGAAAAUGGAGAAGAAUACAUAAUAAAUUAUAUUUCAGAAAGGACAGCACUGAGUGGUGGAUGGAAAGCAUUCUGCUCUGCACACAAGUUACAUGAGGGUGAUGUCCUUGUUUUCCAUUUAGUCAAACCUUUAAGGUUUAAGGUGUACAUAGUGCGAGGAACUGUUUCAGCCAAAACUAAUGGGAAGUUAGAUAUUCAAAAAGUGGAUGCUCCUGAAAAACAAAUCACCUCUGAAGAUCGAGAUGAGAAGGACAUACAAGGGCAUAAAAAGGGCAAGCAUAUGGAGCUUCCUUCAACAGACCUGCAGGACAAUAACCAGGAGAAUAGCCUGAUGGUUUUGAAUGAAGAGCCUGGAGCAACUAAAUCUGAGAAUGACACUGAAGAUCAUUGCUUGAAAACUUUGGAAGUUGUCACAUCUUCAGGAACUGCUGCUGAUUUUAAAGACGUAGAAAGCAUUGAAAGUUUCAGCAUUCUCAUCAAUGGCUUGGCUAUAGAAUGCGAGCUUUCUGAUCACCAAAGGACUAAAUACUACGAGUUAUGCUGCUCACAAAGAUCAUUUCUGCAUGACAAUCUUCUCAAGAGUAUUAAUUAUAAAUUGGCUGCUGAAAUAAUAAUUGAAACUGUUAAUGUUUCAGAGGCCAUCAGAGCUUCCAACCUUACCAGCUCUCAUGCAGAUUUUGCAGUUUGGGACAAGACUUUGAAAGGCUUUGAGUUGCUGGGCAUGAAUGUUGGGUUUUUACGAUCUCGGUUGAGCAGGCUAAUGAGCCUUGCUGCAGAAUCAGAAGCGGCUGUUGAAUCAGAGUGUAGAGAAUUUAGAGUAGAACAAGCUCGUUUAGAUGCUGAGAUGAGAAGUCUUGAAUCAAAGCUUGUGGAAUUGAAAGAGCAAAGAGAAAGGCUAGAUGCUGAGAUAGAGGCUCUGAAGGUGAAUGCUGAAAUGCAUGAGCUGAUGUUUCAGGAAGCAGUGAAUGCUCCAUGGUAGGAAAAUGGUUUUUGAGGAACUGAAGCUUAUGUUUCAAGAAGAAACAAUGAAGGGGAAGAUUUACCAAUGAAAUAGGUGUACGAGCAUUGUUCUACUUUGAUUCAUUGUUGUUAAAUUACUUGUAGUCAUGUAUUAUGUAUAUCAACUGACAGAGGAGAUAUUGUAGGCUGUAUGAGUUAUGAGGUAAUUUUUCUUAGUAUAAUUGACUCACUCUGAUUGAGAUUCAAAUUCGAGACAUUACAUCUUCA
This 3159-nucleotide unclassified non-coding RNA is filed under the name Hevea brasiliensis (rubber tree). Lineage: Eukaryota; Viridiplantae; Streptophyta; Magnoliopsida; Malpighiales; Euphorbiaceae. The record is from RNAcentral.